Molecule: long non-coding RNA, 1025 nt
Filed under: Betta splendens (Siamese fighting fish)
Lineage: Eukaryota; Metazoa; Chordata; Actinopteri; Anabantiformes; Osphronemidae
Description: lncRNA (ENSBSLG00000006624.1)
Source: RNAcentral
GCUAUUGUUCACUUCACAAGGUCAGAACCUACACACGUCGCAAAUUGCUAACAUCCACUGUAGCCUCGCCUGGCGUGUUUACAUCUCUGUGCUUUGGGCCGAGUCUCGGAGCAGGGCCGGAUGGCGGGUCGCGAUCCCGCGCCGUCUCGGGGCUCCGGGGGUAUUUUCCACGGUGUGUUGUCAGCAAACGCGGCAACAGCAGGCGGUCUCAGAUCCUUUCCCUCUUUUCCCGGGCUCCUGGCGGCGGCGCGCGCGGCAUAUGCUCUGGGAGCCCUCGACGCAGACCCGCUCGCCUCCAUUUGUGUUUGUGCGGUCAAAUUUAAUCAAGAUGGCAUCUGUUGGUGUUUAGUGAUUCAUCAAGCCCCACUUGACACAUGUCUGACUGGGGUGGCGUUAAUCUCCCCAGAGGGUGGGGUCCCCUUUUCUCCACCGUGUGCCACUCCUUCGCGGAGCCCUUUCCUUUUCCCGUCAAUUUACAUUUCAAAUAAGGCGCCGAGCCGAUCAAACGCGGUCACUAACGACGGGGCCUUUCAUCAGUGGCUCGCAUGCUAUGCAGAGAUAGUAUACGGCGAGGUCUCAUUGAUCAUAAGCAGGUGGGUGUGCUUUUUGGCAUUGGUUUGUGUGCUGCCAGGCUCCUGUCAUUGUUUUAUCCUAAGUUUGUCUCUAGGGGCAAGGUGUCGCUGGCGGGGGAUGUGCCAGUGGGUCUCACAGAAGCGCGUCUUUGAGGAAGCUUUACAUGCCACUGAAUUAAUCACAAGGAUCCCAAGACCCGCGAAUCGCACUGAAUCCAAAAUAAAUGCGAAAACGUAUGUUGCCUCGAGUUUAUUAAUCUGUCUCCCGUCUGGUUAUUGUCAGCUACUCAGCCCAUCAGAAGUCGAUUCUGGUCAAAGUCAGGUCGUGAUCACGCCGACGCUGAUGACUCGUUUGCCCGUCGCCAUCCAGCACAUAUGGAACUCCUCAGCAACACGAGCCGUUUAUCUGCACCGAGGCUCCACUGCCAAAUACUGUACAUCAUGGAAAGUUCC